AGGGGCCCCCACCAGAACCCCCGGCGCCUUAGGCGUCAAGGAACACCCUAUAUUCCUUGCCCGGUGGAGCGGUCGGCCCCUUCUUCCGCUCCCCGGGCAGGGAUGAUAUUUUAAUUGACACGACUUUCGGGCAACGGAUAUCUCGGCUCUCGCAUCGAUGAAGAACGUAGCAAAAUGCGAUACCUGGUGUGAAUUGCAGAAUCCCGCGAACCAUCGAGUUUUUGAACGCAAGUUGCGCCCGAGGCCUUCUGGCCGAGGGCACGUCUGCCUGGGCGUCACGCCAAAAGACACUCCCAACCCACCCGAGGGGGAGGGACGUGGUGUUUGGUCCCCCGUGCCGCAGGGCGCGGUGGGCCGAAGUUGGGGCUGCCGGCGAAUCGUGUCGGGCACAGCACGUGGUGGGCGACACUCAGUUGUUCUCGGUGCAGCGCCCCGGCACGCGGCCGGCGCAUCGGCCCUAAGGACCCAUGGAGCGACGCAGCGCAUAGCCGCUCUCCUCCCGCGACGCCUGGUCAGUCGGGACUACGACCUGAGUUAGGG
RNAcentral lists this small RNA (540 nucleotides) under Saccharum sinense. Its description in RNAcentral is "eukaryotic LSU rRNA". The stretch from base 123 to 278 matches the Rfam family "5.8S ribosomal RNA". Lineage: Eukaryota; Viridiplantae; Streptophyta; Magnoliopsida; Poales; Poaceae. The record is from RNAcentral.